GCUAGUUGUAUUAUUAGUUAAUGCAAGAUCGACUACGUCGACUAAAGUUCUAGGUAGAAUAAUGAUGAUGACAAUUUUUUACCUAUAUGUCUUGACCAAGUCUCGUGCCAGCAGUCGCGGUAAUACGUGGAAGACUAGUGUUAUUCAUCUUUAUUAGGUUUAAAGGGUACCUAGACGGUAUUUCUAGCCCAAAAUAGGGUACGGAUUUACUAGAGUUUUAUGUGAGGAGGGGAGUACUCGUGGAGUAGAGAUGAAAUUUUGUUAUACUAUGAGGUAACUGGUGGCGGCGAAAGCAACCUUCUAUGUAUAAACUGACGUUGAGGGACGAAGGCUUGGGUAGCAAAUAGGAUUAGAUACCCUAGUAGUCCAAGCAGACAAUUCUGAAUGCCAUAGAUUAGAUUAUUUUUGGUCUAUAAAUGAAAGUGUAAGCAUUCCACCUUAGGAGUAAUGUGGCAACACAGGAACUGAAAUCAUUAGACCGUUUCUGAAACCAGUAGUGAAGUAUGUUAUUUAAAUUGAUGGUCCACAAAAAACCUUACCACAACUUGAAUAUUUUUAAAUUAAUACAAGAGUUGCACGGCUGUCUUCAGUUAAUGUCGUGAGAUUUUGGUUAACUCCAUUAAUUAACGUAAACCCUUACUUUA
Molecule: ribosomal RNA, 644 nt
Filed under: Acarospora sp. EH-2023b
Lineage: Eukaryota; Fungi; Ascomycota; Lecanoromycetes; Acarosporales; Acarosporaceae
Description: SSU rRNA
Rfam family: Bacterial small subunit ribosomal RNA
Source: RNAcentral